ACACUUGGAUCUAUCCUACAACAUGAGCUUGGUUAAGCUUUUAGCUACUAUCAAGAAUUUACAAAAGCUUAAACAUCUUAUCUUGAAGCGAUGCAUGACUUUGGAAUAUAUUCCAAUAUAUGUAAUAAAGCUGAUGGCUUUAUCCCUCUUAGAUGUUGAAGAUUGUGAUAGUUUAUUGCAAGUUGGAAUUUCUAAAUUAAAUUUAUCCAGGACAAUAUCAAGCUUCAGGGAUAAAUAGAAAUUGAUCUUGGAUGACGUGGUAAAUGAUUUAUCAACUUUGGAGGAUCUGAACGUAUCGAAUCAUUAAAAUUUUCCUAUUGAUCCUUAUGGUUUCAAAAUGAUGAAACGAUUAACUGUUAAGAGGUAGGUUCAUUCGCAAAGAACUCAAAUCAAGAGUUCUUAUUUUUUUAGAAAAUAAAAUAAAAUAAAAAAGUUCCUUCAUAAGUAUCAAAAAUACUAAUAUCUAUUUAAUUCAAAUUAGUUAUUUUUUGUGUGAGAUAGAUCUGUGUGUGGUAUGUAUACAAAAAUGUAUAUUGAUUUACAAGUAGCAACACCACUAGAAAAAACACCCCGUCUAAGAGGACUAACACUCAUACUAUCAGGAACAAUGACGAAACUGAAGUUAUUCAAAGCUGAUUGAAAACAAUGCGAGACUUCGCUAAAGUUUUUGGCAUCUUGCAACAAUCUUUGCACAAUUAAUUUGCAUGGCAUUCCAUUACCAAAGAAAUUCUGGGAAGUGGAUCUCACCUCUUGUUUUUGUCGAGCAAAUGGCGUUGACAUUGGUUUCAGGACGGCAGAUGAGAUGCAUUUAAUUCCGGACGCUGUCAAAUCCUUGCCGAAUCUGCAUUUCAUUGUGAAGUAGCUUAGAAAUGGGUGUUUGUGAGCUUUCCUUGGUGUCAAAGAAGAUGAAGAAGAGUGAUUCAAGUUUUUGAGUUGGUAUGAAUGAAGAGGUGGACUUGCUGAUUGUACCACUCUACAUGGUUUUUUUUUUCAAGACUUGUUUGGAAAGUGUCUUUUGUGGUUAAUUUUUUUUAAUAAAUUAUUGUGUUGUCCUACAAUUGAAUAUUAGGACUAAAUACGAUUGUGUGAAAAUUGUAUUAUUUUGAAGGUAGGGAAAUAUGGGACUUUUGGUAGUUUGACUCUUAAGUUUUGACUGACCUAAAAAUAUUGGUGACUAUUUUGUCAAGUACAAAAAUCUUGCUUGGAUUCACUUGUGGAUGGAAUGUUGCAUGUAGUUGAUUCAACAUACUUUCAUUUACUGUUAAUUCCUAAAUUUAUGCUUCUACUUCACAUUAUUUAUCACUAUAUUUUGAGCUUACUAUUUAUUUUUUAUAUUGGAAUACAAAGAUGUAUUCAAACAGUUGAUUUUGUUGAAUUCUUGAGUAAUAAUGUGAUUUGCAUUUAUUUUUUUAAUCUACAUAAGACUUACAAAAAAAACGUGAUUAUAUAGUACCUUCAUCAUGUUUAGAGUUCAAAACACAUUGGAUGUUAUUUCUAUGGGAUUGAAAGCAUCCAGAUCAAUAGUUGUGAUGAAAAUCUUUGUCUUUUUAUUUUAAUAUUUGUUUUCAAGAGUUGCUUAAACAUGUAUAUCGUGGUGUUGGAAUUUUUAUCAUUAAUUUUUAUCAUUAAUUCCGAUAUUCGGCAAGAUGAUUAAUUCAUGGAGCACCUCAUAAUAAAUUUUGGCAGCUUGUAAUUUGUUUGUUUAUUUAUUUUUUAUUCUGUAAUAUAAAAAAACCAUAUCAUUCAAUCUUGAAAUAUUCAAGUUUGAGAAGAAUUUAUAAGGUAUUUUAAAAUAUUAUGUAGAUAUAAUUACAUUAAUUUUUUGUGAUUGUAGAUAAAAUAUUGAGCCAAUUAUCAAAUCAUAAGCUUUCAUAAGCUUCUUAUAUAUGCACUACAUAUUCAACUUGUAUUACAAAUAGCCAAUAUGUAUAAUACAUGGCCAAUUUUUUGCUUAGGUUUUUAAUCUACCAAUCACCUAUAUACACAUGUAAAGGCAAAGCCACGACUAAAAAACUUAUAGGAAACUUCUCCACAAGAUAUUAUUAUGUUUAUCUACUUUUACCUAAUUUUAUCUACUUAUAUUAUCUAAGUAAUUAUUAAAGUAAAUAUAUAUAUUUGUAACAUGGUGUAAUUUUUAUUAUUUUUUUUAAUAUUUUAUUUAAUUAUUAACACUACUUAAAUUAUUUCAUUCAAAUUAUUAAAAAAAUUAAUAAUAAUAUCUAAAACCUAAUAUUAUUAAUUAAAUUUAUAUAAAUAAUUAAUUUCUUAUAUUUUUUGAUUUUCUUGUAUAAAAAAAUAAAUCAAUUGAUAUUAAAAAUAAGUUGAGAUAACCUAAAAUAUAUCAAAUAUAUAUAUAACUUCUCAUCAACUUGAACAAAACUUACAAUGAAGUUGUUAACUUUUUUUCAAUCAAUUAAAUACUUGAAAAAUCCAGCUUUCAUAAGCUUCUAAGAUGUUCUUCUUAUUUAUGUAAAAGUAGUUUUAAGUAUUAUAUUAAUCUUUAUAACUUUGAUUGGUAUUAAGAUAGAAGAUAUGUUUUAUUUAUAUAAAUAAUUAAUAAUUUAAGAUCUUUCAAAAUUCUAAGUUAUUUUUGACAAUUACUAUUUUAUAAAAUUGGUUGUAAAAUUAUUUUAGUUGAGAUAUUAAAAUUAGAGUCUAAAUUGUUCAAUAAUUUAACAUAAGCACAUCACAAAGUUGGUUAAUACAAUAAUCAUUAGCAUGAAUAACCAUUGGAGCAAAUAAGAAUAUACUUUUUAAAGUUAAUAAUUG
This 2769-nucleotide long non-coding RNA is filed under the name Physcomitrium patens. RNAcentral describes it as "long non-coding RNA (PPAT_LNC013347)". The record is from RNAcentral. Lineage: Eukaryota; Viridiplantae; Streptophyta; Bryopsida; Funariales; Funariaceae.